CGAUACUGUGUUGCUUUGGCGGGCCGCUGGGCCCUGCCCGGCCGCCGGCCCCGGCUGGCGCGCGCCCGCCAGAGGCUCCGCAAACUCUGAAUGUCAGCGUCGUCUGAGCACUAUAUAAUAGUUAAAACUUUCAACAACGGAUCUCUUGGUUCUGGCAUCGAUGAAGAACGCAGCGAAAUGCGAUAAGUAAUGCGAAUUGCAGAAUUCAGUGAGUCAUCGAAUCUUUGAACGCACAUUGCGCCCUGUGGUAUUCCGCAGGGCAUGCCUGUUCGAGCGUCAUUUCAACCCUCAAGCUCUGCUUGGUGUUGGGCCCUGCCCGUCGCGGCCGGCCCCAAAGACAGUGGCGGCGCCGUCCGGCUCUGAGCGUAGUACACCUCUCGCUCCAGCGCCUGGCGGUGGCCUGCCAGAACCCCAACUCUGUGGUUGACCUCGGAUCAGGUAGGGAUACCCGCUGAACUUAAGCAUAUCAAUAA
This 473-nucleotide ribosomal RNA is filed under the name Oidiodendron sp. CZ-2011. RNAcentral's name for it is "eukaryotic LSU rRNA". The stretch from base 126 to 279 matches the Rfam family "5.8S ribosomal RNA". Lineage: Eukaryota; Fungi; Ascomycota; Leotiomycetes; Myxotrichaceae. The record is from RNAcentral.